GUGAAUCAGGACCAGUGCAAUAAAUCACCCUCAAUACUUCCUGUGAAUGGCAACUGCUGAAGGGAAGCUUCUGCCUCUCAUCAUACACUGCCCCGGGGGGAACAAAAUAGAUCAUUACAAUGGAGGCCAAAGAGUGCUUGAAUGUCUCUGCUGAAGGCUUUCAAUAAAUAUUUGUUGAAAAGGAAAGAAGGAAGAAAGGAAAGGAAGAAGGAAGGAAGAAAGGAAGGAGUUAAUGAAGACUCAAGGGAGAGUUUGAAGGUGGGCUGGCAGAGACCGUGACCGCAACUGACUGCGUUCUGCAGAAUUAUGGUAAUGAAAUUGGAAUCCAACUUUCAUGAAGCAGAAAGCCUCAAGUCUUCAUAUGUUUUGCAGAAAGCUAAUUAUGGCUUUCCAUGUGAUUUUU
This 403-nucleotide long non-coding RNA is filed under the name Pongo abelii (Sumatran orangutan). RNAcentral's name for it is "lincRNA". Lineage: Eukaryota; Metazoa; Chordata; Mammalia; Primates; Hominidae. The record is from RNAcentral.